AUUGAACGCUGGCGGCAUGCCUUACACAUGCAAGUCGAACGGCAGCACGGGAGCAAUCCUGGUGGCGAGUGGCGAACGGGUGAGUAAUAUAUCGGAACGUGCCCAGUAGUGGGGGAUAGCCCGGCGAAAGCCGGAUUAAUACCGCAUACGACCUGAGGGUGAAAGCGGGGGAUCGCAAGACCUCGCGCUAUUGGAGCGGCCGAUAUCAGAUUAGCUAGUUGGUGGGUAAAGGCCUACCAAGGUUACGAUCUGUAGUUGGUCUGAGAGGACGACCAGCCACACUGGGACUGAGACACGGCCCAGACUCCUACGGGAGGCAGCAGUGGGGAAUUUUGGACAAUGGGCGCAAGCCUGAUCCAGCAAUGCCGCGUGCAGGAAGAAGGCCUCGGUUGUAACUAGCUUUGUCUAGGGAAGAAAGUACUUCUGGGCGUAAUACCCGGGACGGAGUGACGGUACCU
RNAcentral lists this ribosomal RNA (458 nucleotides) under uncultured bacterium. Its description in RNAcentral is "bacterial SSU rRNA". It matches the Rfam family "Bacterial small subunit ribosomal RNA", at positions 30 to 480 of the family's 1533-position model. The record is from RNAcentral.